This 10831-nucleotide long non-coding RNA is filed under the name Brachypodium distachyon (stiff brome). RNAcentral's name for it is "long non-coding RNA (BDIS_LNC000728)". Lineage: Eukaryota; Viridiplantae; Streptophyta; Magnoliopsida; Poales; Poaceae. The record is from RNAcentral.
UGUUUUUACCUAUCGUCCAGAAAAAGCCAAACAAAAAUUAGAGUUAGUUACCUUGUCCUAGAGCCAAUCUGAGCCUUGCAAUUUUCACAUUAGUAUUUGCAUUGUUGAAUCUUUGCUGAAUUAAUCGUGUCGAGUUGCUGGAUUAGAUUGGAUCGUUUUUCAGAUUUUUUCUACUAGAUCAAACUUGCUUUUGGUUUUCUUGUUCUUCGUGUGACGCAGGUUUCCUUCAUCAAUCUUCCGCCGACAAACUUCCUGCCACACCCCCACCCACAUCACGUGGUAUCAGAGCCAGGUCCUAGUAGUUGAUAGGAACAUAUUACUGUGAUUUGUUUCUUGUUUUCUACUAACCAUGACAGGACUUACACGAAGCAUGGCAACUAGACCGAUGCUAUCCCGUGACCGUGAUGAGAGCUUUUCACCACGGCCAUCCUCCACGUCUCUUGUUGACAAUGCCACGGCAACGGUACAAAACAAUCCUUCUAAUACAAUUAAAUUGUGCGUACUCUUUGAGGGGGAAAAUGAUGCUGAAACGUAUAUAGAUUGGGAGCUAGCUUUAACUUAACAAUUCACAUGCUUCCAUGUACUUGAUAGUCGCAAGGUUCAAAUUGCUAUUAGUAAAUUUACUUUUGCUGCUUUAUCUUGGUGGAAUGAGAUAGUUAGAGAAAAGAAAAUUCCCCACACUUGGGUUGAUAUGAAGAAAAUCAUGAGAGAAAAAUAUGUCCCUUUUAGUUAUGGUUUUAACUUGCGUUCAAAAUUACGACGUUUGGCACAAGAUGAUAAAACCGUUGAUGACUACUACAAUGAGUUCCAAAUUAUAACCUUGCGAUUUGGUUUAGAUGAAACCGAACAAAAAAAAAUGGAUAGGUUUUAUUGUGGGCUUAACUUUGAUAUUUCUUACAUGAUUGAAUAUGGAAAAUACGACUCUCUUUUGUGUUUGCUUAAUCUUGCUCGUAAAGUUGAGAGGAAAUUACAGCGAGGGUCUACUACAAAUGAGUCGAACCCACAAGGUAAUGAUACAGAGGAUUGUGUUGCUGAACUAAAAAGGGCAUGUGAUGAAAUAAAUGUGAUACCUAUUGAAUUUUCUGCACCAUGUGAAAUUAUUGUCGUACAUGGUGAUUCAAGUGCACCAACUGCUGAAAUUAAUUCUUCUAAUGAUUUGAGUGCACAAAUUAAUUUUGAUAUUGAUGAGAAUGAAUCAUGUGAGGAAAUAACUAAUGUUUUGGGAGAAACAAGUGAGAUAGAUAAAUUUGAUUUAGGUUGUGUCGAGUUGAUUAGACAUGAAGUGAUUGAUAAGGAUCCACCUAUUAAUUCUUUGUGUUAUAUUACACUUGAUACACCUAUGUAUUUGUCACAUGCAAUGGAUAAAGUUUCUAAAUUAACAAUUUCCAAAUCUUUUGCUAAUGCUCAUGGAUACGCUAUUCAUUUAAUUGGAGAACAUGAUGUGACCAAUAACUUUUUUGUGGAUGAAAUUUGCAUUACUUGUGAUAAUUUUCCUUUCUUGUACACGAUUGUUUGAAUAUUAGUGCUUGGACAUGCUCUAAAUUUCAGCAUCUUUUAGAAACUAAUUUGGGUACCAUUAAUUAUUAUUCUCCAGUGUUGGGAUGGUAUAAUGGUGAACGGUGAGCGGUGCAAACCAAAUACAAGAUAUUGUUUCACUUAUAUACGCAAAACGUAUUGUCAAUCUUCUUGCUGGAAUGAUAUUCAUGAUGAUUGUUUGACUAAUUAUCUCAUGAGAUUGUGUUAUAAAACAUUAAUUGUGCAACAUGGGAGUGGAGUUAAAAAUAACGAUAUAUACAUAUACCAUGCGCAUAUCUUGUCUCUUUUGUUAGCAUAUUUUCAGCAUAAACGACGCCGAGGACGGCUUUCCUUUCAAGAAAGGGAGGAUGAUAUGGACAUGAUCACCAUGGAUACGACCAUUAGAACCCUAAUUGUUGGUGUAUCUAAUAACAAUUAUAAUCAGGUGAAUUCAAUUACAAAAUGUUUUCAAUAUGUUACUUGCAAUGAGGCGGAGCUACUAUCUUGUGUAAUCUUAUUAUGUAGGCAUCUUAUUGAACUUUACAAGUCCAAAGUGAAGAUGAAGUGUUAUAGCCUGCAAAGGGAGAUUCAAAGUGAAGCCUAUCAAGUCUACUUUCCAACAAAUCAAACGGCACAUGAUUCGGAGCUUGCUAGAGAAAGAUAUCACGAAUUAAAGUUGAAUCCGAUUCGGGUCCGAGCUGUCAGGAGACCCGAAUUUGUUUUAAUCACCCAGGCCGCAUCCGGAGUCCAAAUCAAGCAAACAAGUACUUGUUGGAAAGUUAAUUACAAAAAACUUUCCAACGGAUCUGGCCCCAUCAAGAGAUUCGACUCGUGCUGAGCGUGGCGGACAAAACAAGCUGACGAAUCUGUUUUUCUGUUUCCUAAAGAGUUGUAGUUUGUUAGGAAAGUUAGAGAUAGAGUUGGAUUUCGGCCUCCUUACGCAAGGUGGACGAAAAUAUCUCUCCCUCCUCCUUUAUAUACCCCAAGACCCCCCAAGGAGCCUUGGGUUUUGAUUAGAUAAAGUUUAGCCAUCUUUGCUACUUUCGUGUAAUCGCGUGUGUCGGUUAGACCACCUGUUUUACCGUCGUCAAGACUCCAACUUAUCAUCUCGUUGAGACAUUGGUUUGAUAUAGUAUAUUAGCAAUUUGAGAUUGCAUCCGCUAUUUAUCUUGUUCUUGCUUGUUCUUCGACUGCUUGCAGGAACAAAGACCUUCGUGGUCAGGUUGAUCGUGCCCCCGCGUGAUCAAUAACCCUAUGGAGUUGGUGUAUCGAUUGCUAAGACGCUGCUUCCUAGGCCGUAGUCGCAUCGUCAACGUCACCUCCUACCCAAAUGGAGAGUUAUCAAUCUCAUCAAAAGAUCGGGCCACCCCGACCCACAUCAACUAAGGGACCAUGCCUAGGUUGUCCGUACAAUGGUCCAAUGUUGUUUCGUUUCGGUGAGUAGCUUUGCUUGGUGUGCUCAUCCUAGUACCCGAAAUGGACCCGACUCCGAUUAGAAGUUUAGCACCGACUCCGAUCUGGCCGAAUGGUCCGUCCUAGUGAGGGACGAUGCCUAGCGAGUCCCUACAAGUGGUCUAGUCCUGCUUCGCUUCGAUGAGUAGCUUUGCUUAGUGUGCUCAUCCUAGUACCCGAAAUGGACCCGACUCCGAUUAGAAGUUUAGCACCGACUCCGAUCUGGCUGAAUUGUCCGUCCUAGUGAGGGACCAUGCCUAGCGGGUCCGUACAAGUGGUCUAGUCUUAUUUCGCUUCGAUGAGUAGCUUUGCUUUGUGUGCUCAUCCUAGUACCCUAAAUGGACCCGACUCCGAUUAGAAGUUUAGCACCGACUCCGAUCUGGCUGAAUUGUCCGUCCUAGUGAGGGAGCAUGCCUAGCGAGUCCAUACAAGUGGUAUAGUCUUGUUUCGCUUCGAUGAGUAGAUUUGUUUGGUUUGCUCCUCCUAGUACGUCAAACGGGCCCGUUCCAGAUCAAAGUUUAGCACGGACUCCGAUGUGGCUGAAUUUUCCGCCCUAGUAGGGGAACAUGCCUAGCGAGUCCCUACAAGUGGUCUAGUCUUGUUUUGCUUCGAUGAGUAGCUUUGUUUGGUGUGCUCGUCCUAAUACCUUAAAUGGACACAUUCCGGAUCAAAGUUUAGCACCGACUUUGAUUUGGCUGGAUUGUCCGUUCUAGUUAGAGGCCAUGGCUAGCGAGUCCCUACAAGUGGUCUAGACUUGUUUCCCUUUGAUGAGUAGCUUUGUUUUGUGUUCUCAUCUUAUAACGUCAAAAGGACCCGUUCCGGAUCAAAGUUUAGCAAAGACUCUGAUUUGGCUGAAUUUUCCGUCCUAGUGAGGAAACAUGUCUAGCGAGUCCCUACAAGUGGUCUAGUCUUGUUUCGCUUCGAUUAGUAGCUUUGUUCGUUGUGCUCAUCCUAAUAACUUAAAUGGACACGUUACGGAUCAAAGUUUAGCACCGACUUCGAUUUGGCUGGAUUGUCCGCCCCAGUGAGAGGCCAUGGCUGAUAUGGGUCGUGGUGGCCCGAUCUUUCGAUGAGAUUGGUAACUCUCGAUUUGGGUUGGAGGUGACGUUGACGAUCCGACUAUGGCCUAGGAGGCAGCGCCUUAGCAAUCGAUACACCAACUCCAGAGGGUUAUUGAUCACGCGGGGGCACGAUCAACCUGACCACGAAGGUCUUUGUUCCUGCAAGCAAUCGAAGAACAAGCAAGAACAAGAUAAAUAGCGGAUGCAAUCUAAAAUUGCGAAUAUACUAUAUCAAACCAAUGUCCCAACGAGACGAUAAGUUGGAGUCUUGACGACGGUAAAACAGGUGGUCUAACCGACACACGCGAUUACACGAAAGUAGCAAAGAUGGCUAAACUUUAUCUAAUCAAAACCCAAGGCUCCUUAGGGGGGGCUCAUGGGGUAUAUAAAGGAGGAGGGAGAGAUAUUUUCGUCCACCUUGAGUAAGGAGGCCGAAAUCCAACUCUAUCUCUAACUUUCCUAACAAACUACAACUCUUUAGGAAACAGAAAAACAGAUCCGUCAGCUUGUUUUGUCCAUCACGGUCAGCACGAGUCGAAUCUCUUGAUGUGGCCAGAUCCGUUGGAAAGGUCUUGUAAUUACCUUUUGAACAAGUACUUGUUUGCUUGAUUUGGACUCCGGAUGCUGCCUGGGUGAUUAAAACAAAUUCGGGUCUCCUGGCAGCUCGGACCCGAAUCGGAUUCAACUUUAAUUCGUGAUAUCUUUCUCUAGCAAGCUCCGAAUCAUGUGCCGUUUGAUUUGUGUGAAAAUACACUUGAAAUCCUUCCCUCUCAGCUGUAUGAAUGCUUGAUUCUUGUUGUGCCUCCCGUUCGCCUCCAUCAUAUCUCAUCUUGACCUUGGAUUUGAAAAGCUCGACAAGAUGCCUACGUAAUAAAACGAGACAAGAUAGUAGUAGCUCCGCCUCUUCAUAAAUAUGACAAUGAAAACAAUUACUACUUAAAUUCACCUGAUUAUAAAUCUUGUCAAAUAUUAUAGAAUUGAGGGUAUCAAAGGUCGUAUCCAUGGUUAGCAUGUCCAUAUCAAUGGCUAGCGAGUCCCUACAAGUGGUCUAGACUUGUUUCCCUUUAAUGAGUAGCUUUGUUUGGUGUGCUCAUCUUAUUACGUCAAAAGGACCCGUUCCGGAUAAAAGUUUAGCACCGACUCCGAUUUGGCUGAAAUUUCUGUCCUAGUGAGGGAAAAUAACUAGCGAGUCCCUACAAGUGGUGUAGUCUUGUUUCGCUUCGAUGAGUAACUUUGUUUGGUGGGCUCAUCCCAGUACCUCAAAUGGACCCGUUCUGGAUCAAAGUUUAGCACCGACUCCGAUUUGCCGCAUUGUCCGCCCCAGUGAGGGACCAUGCCUAGCGAGUGCCUACAAGCGGUCUACUCUUGUAUCGCUUCGAUGAGUAGCUUUUUUUGGUGGGCUCAUCCUAGUAUCUCAAAUGGACACGUUCUGGAUCAAAGUUUAGCACUGACUCUGAUUUGGCCGCAUUGUCCGCACCAGUGAGGGACCAUGCCUAGCGAGUCCCUACGAGCGGUCUACUGUUGUAUCGCUUCGAUGAGUAGCUUUGUUUGGUUGGCUCAUCCUAGUAUCUCAAAUGGACACGUUCUGGAUCAAAGUUUAGCACCGACUCCGAUUUCGCCGAACUGUCCCUCAUACUGAGUGACCAUGCCUAGCGAGUCCGUACCAGUGGUCUAGUUUUGAUUCGCUUAGAUGAGUAGUUUUUUUUGGUGUGAUCAUCCUAGUACCUCAAAUGGACAUGUUCCGGAUAAAAGUUUAGCACCGACUCCGAUUUGGCCGAAUUGUACGUCUUAGUGAAGGACCAAGCCUAGCGAGUCCCUACAAGUGGUCUAGUCUUGUUUCGUUUCGAUGAGUAGCUUUGUUUGGUGGGCUAAUCCCACUACCUCAAAUGGACACGUUCUGGAUCAAAGUUUAGCACCGUCUACGAUUUGGCCGCAUUGUCCGCCCCAAUGAGGGACCAUGCCUAGCGAGUCCCUAAAAGUGGUCUACCUUGUAUCGCUUCGAUGAGUAGCUUUGUUUGGUGGGCUCAUCCUAGUAUCUCAAAUGGACACGUUCUGGAUCAAAGUUUAGCACAGACUCCGAUUUGGCCGAACUGUCCGUCCUACUGAGGGACCAUGCCUAGCGAGUCCGUACCAGUGGUCUAGUUUUGAAUCCCUUAUGUGAGUACCUUUAUUUGGUGUGCUCAUCCUAGUACCUCAAAUGGACACGUUCCGGAUAAAAGUUUAGCACCGACUUUGAUUUGGCUGGAUUGUCCGUUGUAGUGAGACGCCAUGGCUCGCGAAUCCUAACAAGUGGUCUAGACUUGUUUCCCUUUGAUGAGUAGCUUUGUUUGGUGUGCUCAUCAUAUAACGUCAAAAGGACCCGUUCCGGAUAAAAGUUUAGCACCGACUCCGAUUUGGCUGAAUUUUCCGCCCUAGUAGGGGAACAUGCCUAGCGAGUCCCUACAAGUGGUCUAGUCUUGUUUUGCUUCGAUGAGUAGCUUUGUUUGGUGUGCUCGUCCUAAUACCUUAAAUGGACACAUUCCGGAUCAAAGUUUAGCACCGACUUCGAUAUGGCUGGAUUGUCCGUUCUAGUUAGAGGCCAUGGCUAGGGAGUCCCUACAAGUGGUCUAGACUUGUUUCCCUUUGAUGAGUAGCUUUGUUUUGUGUUCUCAUCUUAUAACGUCAAAAGGACCCGUUCCGGAUCAAAGUUUAGCACCGACUCCGAUUUGGCUGAAUUUUCCGCCCUAGUGAGGGAACAUGCCGAGCGAGUCCGUACAAGUGGCCUAGUCUUGUUUCGCUUCGAUGAGUAGCUUGGUUUGGUGGGCUCAUCCCAGUACCUCGAAUGGACACGUUCUGGAUUAAAGUUUAGCACCGACUCCGAUUUGGCCGCAUUGUGCGCCCCAGUGAGGGACCAUGCCUAGCGAGUCCCUACGAGCGGUCUACUCUUGUAUCGCUUGGAUGAGUAGCUCUGUUUGGUUGGCUCACCCUAGUAUCUCAAAUGGACACAUUCUGGAUCAAAGUUUAGCACCGACUCCGAUUUUGCCGAACUGUCCCUCCUACUGAGGGACCAUGCCUUGCGAGUCCGUACCAGUGGUCUAGUUUUAAUUCGCUUAGAUGAGUAGUUUUGUUUGGUGUGAUCAUCCUAGUACCUCAAAUGGACACGUUCCGGAUAAAACUUUAGCACCGACUCUGAUUUGGCUGAAUUGUACGUCUUAGUGAAGGACCAUGCCUAGCGAGUCCCUAUAAGUGGUCUAGUCUUGUUUCGUUUCGAUGAGUAGCUUUGUUUGGUGGGCUCAUCCCAAUACCUCAAAUGGACACGUUCUGGAUCAAAGUUUAGCACCGACUAUGAUUUGGCCGCAUUGUCCGCCCCAAUGAGGGACCAUGCCUAGCGAGUCCCUACAAGUGGUCUAGUCUUGUUUCGCUUCGAUGAGUAGUUUUACUUGGUGUGCUCAUCCUAGUACCUCAAAUGGACACGUUCCGGAUAAAAGUUUAGCACCGACUUUGAUUUGGCUGGAUUGUCCGUUGUAGUGAGACGCCAUGGCUAGCGAAUCCUAACAAGUGGUCUAGACUUGUUUCCCUUUGAUGAGUAGCUUUGUUUCGUGUGCUCAACUUAUAACGUCAAAAGGACCCGUUCCGGAUAAAAGUUUAGCACCGACUCCGAUUUGGCUGAAAUUUCUGUCCUAGUGAGGGAAAAUGCCUAGCGAGUCCCUACAACUGGUCUAGCCUUGUUUCGCUUCGAUGAGUAGCUUUGUUUGGUUGGCUCAUCCCAGUACCUCAAAUGGACACGUUCUGGAUCAAAGUUUAGCGCCGACUCCGAUUUGGCCGCAUUGUGCGCCCCAGUGAGGGACCAUGCCUAGCGUGUCCCUACAAGCGGUGAUAUGGACAUGCUAACCAUGGAUACGACCAUUAGAACCCUAAUUGUUGGUGUCUCUAAUAAUUAUAAUCUGGUGAAUUCAAUUACAAAAUGUUUUCAAUAUGUUAUUUGCAAAGAGGCGGAGCUACUAUCUUGUGUUAUCUUAUUAUGUAGGCAUCUUAUUGAACUUUACAAGUCCAAAGUGAAGAUGAAGAGUUAUAGCCUGCAAAGGGAGAUUCAAAGUGAAGCCUAUCAAGUCUACUUUCCAACAAAUCAAACGGCACAUGAUUCGGAGCUUGCUAGAGAAAGAUAUCACGAAUUAAAGUUGAAUCCGAUUCGGAUCCGAGCUGUCAGGAGACCCGAAUUUGUUUUAAUCACCCAGGCCGCAUCCGGAGUCCAAAUCAAGCAAACAAGUACUUGUUGGAAAGUUAAUUACAAGACCUUUCCAACGGAUCUGGCCCCAUCAAGAGAUUCGACUCGUGCUGACCGUGGCGGACAAAACAAGCAGACGGAUCUGUUUUUGUGUUUUUCCUAAAGAGUUGUACUUUGUUAGGAAAGUUAGAGAUAGAGUUGGAUUUCGGACUCCUUAUUCAAGGUGAACGAAAAUAUCUCUCCCUCCUCCUUUAUAUACCCCAUGAGCCCCCCUAAGGAGCCUUGGGUUUUGUUUAGUUAAAAGUUAGCCAUCGCUAAUACUUCGUGUAAUCGCAUGUGUCGGUUAGACCACCUGUUUUACCGCUUUCGGAACCCCAACUUAUCGUCUCGUUGAGAUAUUGGUUUGAUAUAGUAUAUUCGCAAUUUUAGAUUGCAUCCGCUAUUUAUCUUGUUCUUGCUUCUUCUUCGAUUGCUUGCAGGAACAAAGACCUUCGUGGUCAGGUUGAUCGUGCCCCCGCGUGAUCAAUAACCCUCUGGAGUUGGUGUAUCGAUUGCUAAGGCGCUGCCUCCUAGGCCGUAGUCGGAUCGUCAACGUCACCUCCUACCCAAAUCGAGAGUUACCAAUCUUAUCGAAAGAUCGGGCCACCCGCACCCGUAUCAAGUGGUAUCAGAGCUUAAGGUUGCUCGGUGAGAUUUUUCCAGUUUAUCCCUAGUUUAGAUCUGUUUUUACCUAUCGCCCAGAAAAAGCCAACAAAAAUUAGAAUUAGUUACCUUGUCCUAUAACCAAUCUGAGCCUUGCAAUUUUCACUUUAGUAUUUGCAUUGUUGAAUCUUUGCUGCAUUAAUCGUGUCGAGUUGCUGGAUUAGAUUGGAUCGUUUUUCAGAUUUUUUUCUACUAGAUCGAACUUGCUUUUGGUUUUCUUGUUCUUCGUGUGACGCAGGUUUCCUUCAUCAAUCUUCCGCCGCCAAACUUCCUGCCACACCACCGCCAUAAUCUCCCGCCGCCACCAUAUCUUCCACCGAGUCUCUCUUCGAGUCCUACACCGAGUCCCUCUUCGACUCCUACACCGAGUCCCUCGUCGAGUCCUACACCGUGUCCUACAUCGAGUUCUACAUUGAGUCGGGCAAGUUAUAGUUUUCAGCCGCAAGUUCGAGUCUGAGUCCAAUCAAGAGUGCUUUUGGAAAGUUUUCAUAAUAGAUCGAAUUUUGUUUAGAGAUCAAGUGGUUCGGAAAGUUGUCAAAAAAAAAGAAAGGAAAGAAAAAAAAGGAAAGAAAGAAAAAAAAAAGAAAAAAAAAAAGAGAAAGAGUUCGAGUCAGUUUCGGACCCGAGUCCGAGUAGAAUUUUAGUUUCGGGUGGGUUUGACCCGUGUUCAGUAAAACGGGCGUAUCUUUUGCGUACCAACUCGGAUUUGGACGUUCUUGGACUUUUUGGAAAGCUCGCGACGAGGCGCAUCAGGAAAUAUCCAGGGUUUUUCCCUGCACUUUGAACCUCAAAUUCGGUUUGUAAGGUGGACUUUCGGAGCUUCCAAGUUUCCGCAUCCGUUUUCCGGCGUCGCUGCAGCCCGGUGUUUCUCAGUUUUCUCCACCGUCCGACAUCCGUUUUGAGUGAUCUUGCCCUUGCUAGAAAGCUUGUGUUGAUACGCUUCUAACCCAUAUUUUUUCAUAUUUUUCUGAAUUUUUCUUACUGCAGCCUUUGCUGUUCUUCGACAGACCGACGUACAGUUUUCCGGUCCUUCGUUUGCGUGAGUUUCUGGGGUUAAAAAAAAAAGAAGAAGAAGAAAAGAAUAAGAAGCCAAACAGAAGGCCACAAAAAGAAAAAAGAAGAAAAAAAUCCCAGCGAUUUACUUGUUGUGCCAUCUUUUGAUCUUUCUAUCCUAUCUUCUUCAGUAUCUAGGCUUAGAUUAUUUCUGUAAUUCAUUCUUAUCGACUCCAGCAGCUAGGACUAGCAUUAUUGAGCAUAUUUUCAACUUUGCAUUGCUGAUUUGAUUAUUUGCUAUUCUUUGCUACUCACAAAAGUCUCCAAGCUCCACAGAUUCUACACCUAGGUUUGUUUGUUACCGAGGCAUCGAUACAUUUAAUCUUCGGAGGGCUUGGUCACGCCGCUGGCCAUCACCUUCCUAUUUUGCAUGGUAAGAACUUGUAAGAACUUGAUUUUUAGAUUAAGAGUUGAGCGACUUGUAGCCACAUCCUAUUAGUUGAUAGGAACAUAUUCCUGUGUUUUGUUUCUUGUCUUAUACUAACCAUGACAGGACUUACACAAAGGAUGGAAAAUAGGCCUAUGCUAUCAAGUGACCAACAUGAGCGUUUUUCACCACAUCCAUCCUCCUCGUCUCUUGUUGACAUUGGCAAGGAAAAGGUAUAUCGCAAUCCUUGUAAUGUCACUAAUUGUUUUGGACCUUUCUUUGAUGGAAAUAAUGAUGCUGAAGCUUAUAUUGAUUGGGAAAUAGCUCUAAUUGAGCAAUUCACAUGCUUCCAUGUACUAGAUAGUCGUAAGGUCCAAAUUGCUAGUAGUAGAUUUCGUUUUGAUGCAUUAUCAUGGUGGCGUGAGAUAGUUAGAGAAAACAAAAUACCUCACACUUGGAUUGAUAUGAAGAAAAUCA